CUUGGCAAUUAACAGCAAUACAGUAAUUGGAAUUUAUUUAGUUAGCUUUUUUCUUGCCUAAAUUAGUUCAUCUAAAAAUAGGGCUUCUAGACCAAACUAGUCAGCUGGCUUUUCUCUCAAUCAGUGUGAGAGACAGACACCAUGAAAAAAGCACAUCUUGGUCCUUGAUACUUCCACAGAGAUUUAAUCACAAGUAUUCUGAGUCACACAGUUUAGGUCAGAAAACCAAACCAUUCACUGACAACCAAUGAAAGUAACAAUAAUUCCUGGAAAACGAAAACCCCUCUAAAUAGUAAUUCUAUUGAAUUUUCUACUAAGGGAUUAAGUACUGAUCCUAACAGUCAUUGGAUGCUUUCCCUCCUCCUCAGAAGCUCACUUGUAAGUGAUUUAACUUCCCACAGUGGCUAUCUUUAUGAACUGAAUCUCAAUGGCCCUUCUGAUAUUUUUUUUUUCCAGGAAUUAGUUUGAUCUAUGCCUACUGCCAUUACGUCUAUUGCUUUUAAUUUACAAAAAGAUGCAAACAAUCCUGAAGACCAUGUAAUAAGAAGUGAGCCAUCCUUCAUCUGUUUCUUUGUUCACAGGAGCAGCUGUGCUUGAAAAGGGAAAAAAGAGAUUUUGGGAAAAGAAAAAUCAGGAGAAAAUAAUGCAGAUCUAACCAUUUUGUUAACUUUUUGCUCAGUAAACCAGCUUUGAAAGCACAGAGAGAGAUGGUGGGACUUCUCACCCCAAGGCACACCUUGACUGACCUAAAACAUAAAAUACAUUAAAUACCAAGGCAGCUAGCUGCCUAUAUUGGAACUGAAUGCGAUGGU
Centrocercus urophasianus (Greater sage-grouse) is the source of this 812-nucleotide long non-coding RNA. RefSeq lists it as uncharacterized. The record is from RefSeq and is a predicted model, not a curated record. The transcript has 3 exons. NCBI's taxonomy places the organism in Eukaryota, Metazoa, Chordata, Aves, Galliformes, Phasianidae.